GAUGAACGCUAGCUACAGGCUUAACACAUGCAAGUCGAGGGGCAGCAUGAACUUAGCUUGCUAAGUUUGAUGGCGACCGGCGCACGGGUGAGUAACGCGUAUCCAACCUGCCGAUGACUCGGGGAUAGCCUUUCGAAAGAAAGAUUAAUACCCGAUGGCAUAGUUCUUCCGCAUGGUAGAACUAUUAAGAAUUUCGGUGUACGAUGGGGAUGCGUUCCAUUAGGUAGUAGGCGGGGUAACGGCCCACCUAGCCUUCGAUGGAUAGGGGUUCUGAGAGGAAGGUCCCCCACAUUGGAACUGAGACACGGUCCAAACUCCUACGGGAGGCAGCAGUGAGGAAUAUUGGUCAAUGGACGAGAGUCUGAACCAGCCAAGUAGCGUGAAGGAUGACUGCCCUAUGGGUUGUAAACUUCUUUUAUACGGGAAUAAAGUGAGGUACGUGUGCCUUUUUGUAUGUACCGUAUGAAUAAGGAUCGGCUAACUCCGUG
RNAcentral lists this ribosomal RNA (488 nucleotides) under uncultured bacterium. RNAcentral describes it as "bacterial SSU rRNA". It matches the Rfam family "Bacterial small subunit ribosomal RNA", at positions 28 to 507 of the family's 1533-position model. The record is from RNAcentral.